This 29-nucleotide non-coding RNA is filed under the name Mus musculus (house mouse). Lineage: Eukaryota; Metazoa; Chordata; Mammalia; Rodentia; Muridae. The record is from RNAcentral.
UGGGAAAACUUGGUGCUGUUCAUGCCUGG